UGUGGCAGAAAAGUGCAAUAAACUUAAAAUUUAUAUAAAAAGUUAAUCUUUCAUUAGA
This 58-nucleotide transfer RNA is filed under the name Dilophotes sp. Ja LB-2014. RNAcentral's name for it is "tRNA-Leu". Lineage: Eukaryota; Metazoa; Arthropoda; Insecta; Coleoptera; Lycidae. The record is from RNAcentral. RNAcentral also lists the same sequence under 1 other name.